GGGUUGUGAGGUUAAGCGACUAAGCGUACACGGUGGAUGCCCUGGCAGUCAGAGGCGAUGAAGGACGUGCUAAUCUGCGAUAAGCGUCGGUAAGGUGAUAUGAACCGUUAUAACCGGCGAUUUCCGAAUGGGGAAACCCAGUGUGAUUCGUCACACUAUCAUUAACUGAAUCCAUAGGUUAAUGAGGCGAACCGGGGGAACUGAAACAUCUAAGUACCCCGAGGAAAAGAAAUCAACCGAGAUUCCCCCAGUAGCGGCGAGCGAACGGGGAGGAGCCCAGAGCCUGAAUCAGUGUGUGUGUUAGUGGAAGCGUCUGGAAAGGCGCGCGAUACAGGGUGACAGCCCCGUACACAAAAAUGCACAUGCUGUGAGCUCGAUGAGUAGGGCGGGACACGUGGUAUCCUGUCUGAAUAUGGGGGGACCAUCCUCCAAGGCUAAAUACUCCUGACUGACCGAUAGUGAACCAGUACCGUGAGGGAAAGGCGAAAAGAACCCCGGCGAGGGGAGUGAAAAAGAACCUGAAACCGUGUACGUACAAGCAGUGGGAGCCUCUUUAUGGGGUGACUGCGUACCUUUUGUAUAAUGGGUCAGCGACUUAUAUUCUGUAGCAAGGUUAACCGAAUAGGGGAGCCGAAGGGAAACCGAGUCUUAACUGGGCGUUAAGUUGCAGGGUAUAGACCCGAAACCCGGUGAUCUAGCCAUGGGCAGGUUGAAGGUUGGGUAACACUAACUGGAGGACCGAACCGACUAAUGUUGAAAAAUUAGCGGAUGACUUGUGGCUGGGGGUGAAAGGCCAAUCAAACCGGGAGAUAGCUGGUUCUCCCCGAAAGCUAUUUAGGUAGCGCCUCGUGAAUUCAUCUCCGGGGGUAGAGCACUGUUUCGGCAAGGGGGUCAUCCCGACUUACCAACCCGAUGCAAACUGCGAAUACCGGAGAAUGUUAUCACGGGAGACACACGGCGGGUGCUAACGUCCGUCGUGAAGAGGGAAACAACCCAGACCGCCAGCUAAGGUCCCAAAGUCAUGGUUAAGUGGGAAACGAUGUGGGAAGGCCCAGACAGCCAGGAUGUUGGCUUAGAAGCAGCCAUCAUUUAAAGAAAGCGUAAUAGCUCACUGGUCGAGUCGGCCUGCGCGGAAGAUGUAACGGGGCUAAACCAUGCACCGAAGCUGCGGCAGCGACGCUUAUGCGUUGUUGGGUAGGGGAGCGUUCUGUAAGCCUGCGAAGGUGUACUGUGAGGUAUGCUGGAGGUAUCAGAAGUGCGAAUGCUGACAUAAGUAACGAUAAAGCGGGUGAAAAGCCCGCUCGCCGGAAGACCAAGGGUUCCUGUCCAACGUUAAUCGGGGCAGGGUGAGUCGACCCCUAAGGCGAGGCCGAAAGGCGUAGUCGAUGGGAAACAGGUUAAUAUUCCUGUACUUGGUGUUACUGCGAAGGGGGGACGGAGAAGGCUAUGUUGGCCGGGCGACGGUUGUC
Molecule: ribosomal RNA, 1469 nt
Filed under: Escherichia coli
Lineage: Bacteria; Pseudomonadati; Pseudomonadota; Gammaproteobacteria; Enterobacterales; Enterobacteriaceae
Description: partial 23S ribosomal RNA
Rfam family: Bacterial large subunit ribosomal RNA
Source: RNAcentral